This is a long non-coding RNA of Hypanus sabinus (Atlantic stingray), 4061 nucleotides long. RefSeq lists it as uncharacterized. NCBI's taxonomy places the organism in Eukaryota, Metazoa, Chordata, Chondrichthyes, Myliobatiformes, Dasyatidae. The transcript is spliced from 3 exons. The record is from RefSeq and is a predicted model, not a curated record.
ACAACCAUAGUGCAAAUGACAACAAAAUGUGCAUUUACAAAAUAAUAAUAGUAAAUUAAAAAACAAUAAAUAUCAAGACCAUGAGAGGAAUGGUCCUUGAAAAUGAGUCCAUAGGUUGUGGGAACAUUUCAAUGACGGGGCAAGUGAAAUUGAGUGAAGGUAUCCCCUUUGGUUCAAGAACCUGAUGGUUGAGGGGUAAGAACUGUUCCUGAGUCUCGUGGUGUGAGUCCUGAGGCUCCUGUGCUCUCUUACUAAUGGCAGCAGCGAGAGGAGACCAUGACCUGGAUGGUGGGGUUCCCUGAUGAUGGCUGCUGCUGUCCGAUGACAGCACUCCAUGUAGAUGUGCUCAAAGGUGGGGAGGGCUUUACCCAUGAUGGACUGCACCAUAUCCACUACUUAUUGUAGGAUUUUCCAUUCGAGGGCGUUGGUGUUUCCAUACCAGGCUUUGGUGCAACUAGUCAAUACAGUAUACUCUCCCCCACACAUCUAUUGCAGAUUGUCAAAGUUUUAGAUGCCAUGCCCAAUCUUUGCAAACUUCUAAGGAAGUAGAGGCACUGCUAUGUUUCCUUUGUAAAUACACUUCAGUGCUGGACUCAAGACAGACCUUCUGAAAUUAUAACACUGAGGAAUUUAAAGCUGUCGACCCCCUCCAUCUCUGAUGACCCAGUGAGGACUGGAUCAUGGACCUCUGGUUUCCUCAUCCUGAAGUCAAUAAUUAGCUCUUUGGUGUUGCUGACAUUGACUGAGAGGUUACCGUUGUGUCAACACUCAGAGAGAUUUUCAAUCUCCUUCCUAUAAGCUGAUUCGUCACCACCUCUGAUUCAGCUAAUGACUGUGGUGUCAUCAGCAAACUUAAAUAUGGCAUUGGAGCUGUGUCUAGCCACACAGUCAUAAGUGUAAAGUGAGUUGAACAGGGAGCUAAGCACACAGCCUUGUGGUGUAACUGCGCUAAGGGAGAUGGUGGAUCCGAUAUCGUCACCAAUCCGAACUGACUGGGGUUUGCAGCUGAAGAGAUCCAGGAUCCAAUUGCACAAGGAAGUAUUGAGGCCCAGGUCUUGAAGCUGAUUGAUCAGUUUUAAGGGGAUGGUAGUGCUGAAUGCCAAGCUGUAGUCAAUAAAGAGCAUCCCGAUGUAUGCAUCCUUGCUGUCUAGAUGUUCCAGGGUUGAGCGUAGAGCCGAACAAAAGGCAGCUGCUGUGGACCUGUUGUGCUGGUAGUCAAGCUGGAACGGAUCCAAGUCGCUUGUCAGGGAGCGAUUCCUCGCUGUAGACGUUGCCUGACUGGCUGAGUUCCUCCAGCGUUUUGUGUGAUAAUAGAGAAUGCGUGAAGUGUAGUUCUAUACUCGUUCUGUAUCUCAGAGGCAACAGAGAAACUCCCGCUGCUGGCUCACUUGACGCUUUUUUAUUUGGGGCUAUGCGCUUCAAUUCACUUUGCCCAUGUGUUCAGUCCAAACACACCUUGUGUUGGCAGAUUCUAACAUAAAUAAUAACCAAAGCACCAUUUCCUCGUUUCGUUAUUUACAGAAAGUACAGGAAUAUUUUCCAUUGUUAUUGAACACGCCGAUGAUGACGCAACCCUGGAAAUGAUUUCAGUGUGUUUUAUUUUUUAACAUCUCUGUUCCUGACUCAGAAACAAGCCCCUCUGAGGCAGAAGACUGUGGCUUCAAAUUGGGCGUCACGGCAGGGUGGCGGUUAACGCCACACUAUCGCAGCUCGGGGUGUCGGAGUUCAGAGGUCCAUUCUGACGUCGCCUACAAGGAGCCUGUAGAUCCUCCCCGUGAAUGCAUGUGUUUCCUUUGGAUGUCACCGUUUCCUCCCACAGUUCAAAGACGUAAGGCCAUGAACUUAUCAAUCACCCCUGCUGUGGACACUUUCUGGAGUUCCAAGAUCCGUAUGCUCCACGACUGCUGGACUAACUCCUUGCUAACCUACUUGGCUCAAUUGCGCUGCCGACAUGACAACCAGCCCCUGGAGUGAAACAAAACGCACCCCAUGGUCUGAGCCUGCUCUCACUGCGACCGAGUUAAUGGUAACCAGGCAACCAACCACACGACUGCUGCACUAGCGGCCGUGUGUUUCUGUUGUUGAGACAGUUGAUUCAGACACAGACCCUGUUAUUUAAGGCCUGUGUCUUUGGUUCACAAAGUAAUCUGUUCCAUGCUGCUCGGGGAGGCUUAGAAAAUAAAUAGACGAGGUCCAGCACAAUCGAUUGUGCUUCUGUUUGCUCGCGCUGACUAACUGAAUCCUGCUGCUGUUUUACUGAUGAAUUCAAGCACCUUUCCGCUGCUGUGUUUAGCUUCAUUUCUUCAAAGCCAAAGUAAAUUUAUUAUCAAAGUAUGUAUAUGUCACCAUAUACAACCCUGAGAUUCGUUGUCUCGUAGGCAUUCACAGGUAGGUAAAGAAAUACAACAGAAUUUAUGAAAAACUAGACUGACAACCAAAGUUCAAAGUAAAUUUAUUUUCAAAGUCUGUAUAUGUCACCACAUACUACUCCAAGAUUUCAUUUUCAUGAGGGAAAUUCACAGCAGAUCAAAGACAUACAAUAGAAUCAAUGAAAAACCACAGACAAGAUUGACAAAAAAAAAUCAAUGUGCAAUGGAAGACAAACUGUGAAAAUGCAAAAUAAAAACAAUAAUAAUGAUAAUAAAUAAAUAAUAGAUGAAUUGAGCAAAUACAAAUAUAAUACUGCGAACAUGAGUUGUAGGGACCUUGAAAGUGAGUCUGUAAGUUGUAGAAUCAGUUUAGUGUUGAGGUGAGUGAAGUUAUCCACUCUGGUUCAGGAGCCUGAUGGUUGACAUUGCUUUCCUGGGCAUUGAUGUUUCCAUACCAGGCCUCAGCAGAAGCUGAAUUUCCUGCAUCUGCAUCUGCAGAAUCUCUUCCUUCAUUGUCCUUCGGUCUCCUUCUGGAAUCAACAGGACUUUAGGGUAUAUCUUCACCAAUAGAUAGCUCACCACUUUCUUGAGGGAAGCUCUGGAUGAUUACUAAAUGCUGGCCUUGCCGGCAAUACCCACAUCCUAACUGGUCAAAGUCAAAGUUAUUAGGUGUGAACAUCACCAAUAACCUGUCCUGGUCCAACCAAGUUGAUGUCAUGACCAAGAAAUCUCACCAACACCUUUACUUCCUUAGGGGGCUAAAAAACAAUUGACAUGUCCCCGCCAACGCUUAGCAAUUUUUAUCAAUGCAUCUCAGCAAGCAUUCUACCUGGAUCCAUGAUGGCUUGGUGUGAUAACCAUUCUGCACAUGACCACAAGAAUCUGCACAGUUCAGUGCAUCGUGGAAACCAGCCUCCCAGCAAUGGCCCUUGUCCAUACUAUCAACUGCCUCAGUAAAGCAGCCAGCAUAGUUGACAUGGGCAUUCUGGACAUCCUCUCUUCUCUCUUCUUCGAUCAGGAAAAAUAUACAGAAGCCUGAACACAUGCAAGAGCAAACUCAAAGCGCCCUCUACCCACUGUUGUCAUCCUCUUGAUUGCACCUCUUGUAUGAUAAGAUGGACGUUUCUACCAAGGGAGGUGUAAGGCGCUCUUUCCCACCGCUAGCCAGCAGGUCAUCCUUGGACAAGGUGUAGCACCUGCUUAGCUCUCGAUCAGGGCCACGAGAAGCCCUCUUGAACCAAAGGGGAUAACUUCACUUGAACCAUCAUUGAAAUGUUCCCACAACCAAUGGACUCACUUUCAAGGACUCUUCAAUAGGUUCAAUAGUUCCCUUUAAUAACAGGGAAUGUGCGCAUUAUACAACCUGAAAUUCUUGCUCUUUGCAGAAAUCCACAAAAGCAGAAGAGUGCCCCAAAGAACCUGAUAGUAAAAAUGUUAGAACCCCAGAGCCCCCCAUACUCCCCCCACACACAAACAGCAGCAAAGCCCUCCCCCAGCAAAAAUAAAAUAAUCAGCACCCUCCACCCACCAAGCAAGCAAUUGCAAAGCCCCCCGAAGAUAGACCAUGAUCUGCAGUCCAACCUAAUCGUUCACCCAACAAUUCGACAUACCAUCGGUUCUCUCACAAAAAUACAACUGCAGAUGCUGUGGAUCAAAGAAUACGUACACAAUGCUGAAGAACUCAGCAGGUCA